Molecule: signal recognition particle RNA, 227 nt
Filed under: Trifolium pratense (red clover)
Lineage: Eukaryota; Viridiplantae; Streptophyta; Magnoliopsida; Fabales; Fabaceae
Description: SRP RNA Plant_SRP
Rfam family: Plant signal recognition particle RNA
Source: RNAcentral
GCUAUGGUUUGUUGAGCUGGGUUGGUAGCUGCAAUAUGCUGGCCUGCACGCUCCAAGUUGGCAAAGCUUGGGCCAAAGCUUGGGCCAAAGCUUGGGUCUCUUUGUUCCUAGACAAGAGGGCACUGCGUGAGGCUGGUUUCACAGAGCAGCGAACACCUCUGGCUCUUGACGGUGGAGGGAUAACAGGCUGUAGCACUUUCAGCCCAUUAAGCUUGGUGAGCCUAGCC